UGACGNUGAGGCGCGAAAGCCAGGGGAGCGAACGGGAUUAGAUACCCCGGUAGUCCUGNCCGUAAACGAUGGGUACUAGGUGUAGGAGGUAUCGACCCCUUCUGUGCCGGAGUUAACGCAAUAAGUACCCCGCCUGGGGAGUACGACCGCAAGGUUGAAACUCAAAGGAAUUGACGGGGGCCCGCACAAGCGGUGGAGUAUGUGGUUUAAUUCGACGCAACGCGAAGAACCUUACCAGGUCUUGACAUUGAUGGACAGAACUAGAGAUAGUUCCUCUUCUUCGGAAGCCAGAAAACAGGUGGUGCACGGUUGUCGUCAGCUCGUGUCGUGAGAUGUUGGGUUAAGUCCCGCAACGAGCGCAACCCCUAUCUUAUGUUGCCAGCACGUAAAGGUGGGAACUCAUGAGAGACUGCCGCAGACAAUGCGGAGGAAGGCGGGGAUGACGUCAAAUCAUCAUGCCCCUUAUGACCUGGGCUACACACGUACUACAAUGGGAGUUGAUAGACGGAAGCGAAAUCGCGAGAUGGAGCAAACCCGAGAAACACUCUCUCAGUUCGGAUCGUAGGCUGCAACUCGCCUACGUGAAGUCGGAAUCGCUAGUAAUCGCAGGUCAGCAUACUGCUGUGAAUACGUUCCCGGGCCUUGUACACACCGCCCGUCACACCACGAAAGUCGGAAGUGCCCAAAGCCGGUGGGGUAACCUUCGGGAGCCAGCCGU
RNAcentral lists this ribosomal RNA (718 nucleotides) under uncultured bacterium. Its description in RNAcentral is "bacterial SSU rRNA". It matches the Rfam family "Bacterial small subunit ribosomal RNA", at positions 741 to 1456 of the family's 1533-position model. The record is from RNAcentral.